CCUACGGGUGGCAGCAGUGAGGAAUAUUGGUCAAUGGUCGGGAGACUGAACCAGCCAAGCCGCGUGAGGGAGGAAGGUACAGAGUAUCGUAAACCUCUUUUGUCAGGGAACAAAGGCGGGGACGUGUCCCCGGAUGAGUGUACCUGAAGACAAACCAUCGGCUAACUCCGUGCCAGCAGCCGCGGUAAUUCGGAGGCUGCGAGCGUUAUCCGGAUUUGAUGGGUGUAAAGGGUGCGCAGGCGGUCAGUUAAGUCAACGGUCAAAUGCCGGGGCUCAACCCCCGGCCGGCAGUUGAACUUGGCAGUCUUGAGUUGAGGAGAGGUAUGCGGAAUGCGUGGUGGAGCGGUGAAAUGCGUAGAUAUAGCGCAGAACAC
This 374-nucleotide ribosomal RNA is filed under the name uncultured bacterium. Its description in RNAcentral is "partial 16S ribosomal RNA". It matches the Rfam family "Bacterial small subunit ribosomal RNA", at positions 338 to 709 of the family's 1533-position model. The record is from RNAcentral.